RNAcentral lists this ribosomal RNA (830 nucleotides) under Fusarium verticillioides. Its description in RNAcentral is "partial large subunit ribosomal RNA". It matches the Rfam family "Eukaryotic large subunit ribosomal RNA", at positions 74 to 935 of the family's 3401-position model. The record is from RNAcentral. Lineage: Eukaryota; Fungi; Ascomycota; Sordariomycetes; Hypocreales; Nectriaceae.
AUUGCCCUAGUAACGGCGAGUGAAGCGGCAACAGCUCAAAUUUGAAAUCUGGCUCUCGGGCCCGAGUUGUAAUUUGUAGAGGAUACUUUUGAUGCGGUGCCUUCCGAGUUCCCUGGAACGGGACGCCAUAGAGGGUGAGAGCCCCGUCUGGUUGGAUGCCAAAUCUCUGUAAAGUUCCUUCGACGAGUCGAGUAGUUUGGGAAUGCUGCUCUAAAUGGGAGGUAUAUGUCUUCUAAAGCUAAAUACCGGCCAGAGACCGAUAGCGCACAAGUAGAGUGAUCGAAAGAUGAAAAGCACUUUGAAAAGAGAGUUAAAAAGUACGUGAAAUUGUUGAAAGGGAAGCGUUUAUGACCAGACUUGGGCUUGGUUAAUCAUCUGGGGUUCUCCCCAGUGCACUUUUCCAGUCCAGGCCAGCAUCAGUUUUCGCCGGGGGAUAAAGACUUCGGGAAUGUGGCUCUCUUCGGGGAGUGUUAUAGCCCGUUGUGUAAUACCCUGGCGGGGACUGAGGUUCGCGCAUCUGCAAGGAUGCUGGCGUAAUGGUCAUCAACGACCCGUCUUGAAACACGGACCAAGGAGUCGUCUUCGUAUGCGAGUGUUCGGGUGUCAAACCCCUACGCGUAAUGAAAGUGAACGCAGGUGAGAGCUUCGGCGCAUCAUCGACCGAUCCUGAUGUUCUCGGAUGGAUUUGAGUAAGAGCAUACGGGGCCGGACCCGAAAGAAGGUGAACUAUGCCUGUAUAGGGUGAAGCCAGAGGAAACUCUGGUGGAGGCUCGCAGCGGUUCUGACGUGCAAAUCGAUCGUCAAAUAUGGGCAUGGGGCGAAAGACUAAU